CGCGGCCUAUCAGCUUGUUGGUGGGGUAAUGGCCUACCAAGGCGACGACGGGUAGCCGGCCUGAGAGGGCGACCGGCCACACUGGGACUGAGACACGGCCCAGACUCCUACGGGAGGCAGCAGUGGGGAAUAUUGCACAAUGGGCGAAAGCCUGAUGCAGCGACGCCGCGUGAGGGAUGACGGCCUUCGGGUUGUAAACCUCUUUCAGCAGGGACGAAGCGUAAGUGACGGUACCUGCAGAAGAAGCGCCGGCCGACUACGUGCCAGCAGCCGCGGUAAGACGCAGGGCGCGAGCGUUGUCCGGAUUUAUUGGGCGUAAAGAGCUCGUAGGCGGCUUGUCGCGUCGACUGUGAAAACCCGCAGCUCAACUGCGGGCCUGCAGUCGAUACGGGCAGGCUAGAGUUCGGUAGGGGAGACUGGAAUUCCUGGUGUAGCGGUGGAAUGCGCAGAUAUCAGGAGGAACACCGGUGGCGAAGGCGGGUCUCUGGGCCGAUACUGACGCUGAGGAGCGAAAGCGUGGGGAGCGAACAGGAUUAGAUACCCUGGUAGUCCACGCUGUAAACGUUGGGCGCUAGGUGUGGGGGACCUCUCCGGUUCUCUGUGCCGCAGCUAACGCAUUAAGCGCCCCGCCUGGGGAGUACGG
RNAcentral lists this ribosomal RNA (643 nucleotides) under uncultured bacterium. RNAcentral's name for it is "bacterial SSU rRNA". It matches the Rfam family "Bacterial small subunit ribosomal RNA", at positions 232 to 885 of the family's 1533-position model. The record is from RNAcentral.